Molecule: long non-coding RNA, 674 nt
Organism: Passer domesticus (house sparrow)
Lineage: Eukaryota; Metazoa; Chordata; Aves; Passeriformes; Passeridae
Exons: 2
Source: RefSeq, a predicted model, not a curated record
UUUGCAGUAAAAGCUAGUCAGAUGAAUAAAAGAUAAAAAAUUUCCUGGCUGUUUCCUACCCUUAGAAAUACAGCAUUUCUGAGUACUCAAAGAAAGGUCAGCAGUGCUCAUGCACCUUCAUUUGUGCUCUUCAAACAACCCCAGGGUCCAGAAAUGACAGGACAAGGCACAAAGUAAUGGCCAGUGCUGAGGACAGCUGGGACCACCUAAGGAAAAUCAGGAAUUUGAGGGCAAGGAUCACUCUUCUGUCUGUGGAGUGUUGUGUCCCACACAAACCUGAGUCAAACAGCCUCUGCUUCUCUUAAGUUCCAGAGGGUUUGAAUGACACAAGCUCUUUUGUUCCAUUCCAUUAUGAUCCUGUCAGAUUUGGAGGAGGAAAGCCAAGGGAAGAUAUUGGUUGUGCUGAGUGAAAACAUUUGUGCCACACUGCUUUGGUGCUUAGAGCUUCACUCAGGAGUGAAGCUUCACUGGAUGCUCCAAGCUCUGGAAUUUGUGAAAGGUGUGAUUCCAUGCAGUAUGGAUGGAACAUCCAUGGAUGGAACAUCCUGUUUACCUCUCCAGUUACCUUGUCCUGGAGAACUGGAGGGAACCCUGAUGCACAUCAAUCAGUGCCUGCAUUUUUGGUUUUGGAUUGGCAUUUGGAUUUUCCCCAGGAAUAAAUGGAAUAACCUUUG